AUGAUUGUCCAUUGGGUUGUCGAUAUGCUAUGUGUUUAAAAUAUAAUAUAAUAAAAUAAUAAAUAUUGAUAUUGUAUUGAUGUAUUAUAAAAUAAUAAAAUAUACUAUUAAUUACUUCUGCAGGUAGAACAUGGGAUUGCGAUUUCGUGGAAAUGUCAGAGCGACUGACAUUGAGUUUUAUCGCGACGAGCUGGAUCAGCAGAAAGAGUCAUAAGUACGUAUAGAUUUUAUAAAUUAAAUAAAUGCACAAACAUUCUAAAAUUUUACAUUCAUU
This 274-nucleotide long non-coding RNA is filed under the name Ananas comosus (pineapple). RNAcentral describes it as "long non-coding RNA (ACOM_LNC026073)". The record is from RNAcentral. Lineage: Eukaryota; Viridiplantae; Streptophyta; Magnoliopsida; Poales; Bromeliaceae.